GAUGAAGAUCGUAGCGAAAUGCGAUAAGUAGUGUGAAUUGCAGAAUUCAGUGAAUCAUCGAAUCUUUGAACGCACAUUGCGCCCCUUGGUAUUCCAUGGGGCAUGCCUGUUCGAGCGUCAUUUGUACCUUCAAGCUUUGCUUGGUGUUGGGUGUUUGUCUCGCCUUUGCGUGUAGACUCGCCUUAAAAUAAUUGGCAGCCGGCGUAUUGAUUUCGGAGCGCAGUACAUCUCGCGCUUUGCACUCAUAACGACAGCGUCCAAAAGUACAUUUUACACUCUUGACCUCGGAUCAGGUAGGGAUACCCGCUGAACUUAAGCAUAUCAAUAAGCGGAGGA
This 336-nucleotide unclassified non-coding RNA is filed under the name soil metagenome. RNAcentral's name for it is "partial contains 5.8S ribosomal RNA, internal transcribed spacer 2, and large subunit ribosomal RNA". The stretch from base 1 to 120 matches the Rfam family "5.8S ribosomal RNA", at positions 35 to 154 of the family's 154-position model. The record is from RNAcentral.